This 449-nucleotide ribosomal RNA is filed under the name uncultured bacterium. Its description in RNAcentral is "partial 16S ribosomal RNA". It matches the Rfam family "Bacterial small subunit ribosomal RNA", at positions 330 to 795 of the family's 1533-position model. The record is from RNAcentral.
GCCAGACUCCUACGGGAGGCAGCAGUGGGGGAUAUUGCACGAUGGGGGGAACCCUGAUGCAGCGACGCCGCGUGGGUGAAGGAGCGUUUCGGCGCGUAAAGCCCUAUCGGCAGGGAAGAAGGAGGACGGUACCUGACUAAGAAGCCCCGGCUAACUACGUGCCAGCAGCCGCGGUAAUACGUAGGGGGCAAGCGUUAUCCGGAUUUACUGGGUGUAAAGGGGGCGCAGACGGCAGCGCAAGCCAGGAGUGAAAGCCCGGGGCCCAACCCCGGGACUGCUCUUGGAACUGCGCGGCUGGAGUGCAGGAGGGGCAGGCGGAAUUCCUGGUGUAGCGGUGAAAUGCGUAGAUAUCAGGAGGAACACCGGUGGCGAAGGCGGCCUGCUGGACUGCGACUGACGUUGAGGCCCGAAAGCGUGGGGAGCAAACAGGAUUAGAUACCCGAGUAGUA